UACAGAGGUCUCGAGCGUUGUUCGGAUUCAUUGGGCGUAAAGGGUGCGUAGGCGGCGCGGUAAGUCGGGUGUGAAAUCUCGGGGCUUAACUCCGAAACUGCAUUCGAUACUGCCGUGCUUGAGGACUGGAGAGGAGACUGGAAUUUACGGUGUAGCGGUGAAAUUCGUAGAUAUCAGGAGGAACACCAAUGGCGAAGGCAGCACUCUGGGACGUGACUGACGCUGAGACGCGAAAGCGUGGGGAGCAAACAGG
This 253-nucleotide ribosomal RNA is filed under the name uncultured bacterium. RNAcentral describes it as "partial 16S ribosomal RNA". It matches the Rfam family "Bacterial small subunit ribosomal RNA", at positions 524 to 776 of the family's 1533-position model. The record is from RNAcentral.